This 463-nucleotide ribosomal RNA is filed under the name uncultured bacterium. RNAcentral's name for it is "partial 16S ribosomal RNA". It matches the Rfam family "Bacterial small subunit ribosomal RNA", at positions 28 to 507 of the family's 1533-position model. The record is from RNAcentral.
GAUGAACGCUGACAGAAUGCUUAACACAUGCAAGUCGAUGGGGAAGUGGUGCUUGCACCAUGGCAACCAUGGCGGACGGGUGAGUAACGCGUAAGGGACUUACCUGCAGGACUGGGAUAACAGGGGGAAACUCCUGACAAGACCGGAUAAUGUCAUGGAGCUGCAGGGCUUUAGGAUGAAAGGAGACGCCUGCGGAGAGCCUUGCGUCCUAUUAGCUAGUUGGUGAGGUAAUGGCUCACCAAGGCGAAGAUAGGUAGCCGGCCUGAGAGGGUGGACGGCCACAAGGGGACUGAGAUACGGCCCUUACUCCUACGGGAGGCAGCAGUGGGGAAUAUUGGACAAUGGGGGCAACCCUGAUCCAGCAAUUCUGUGUGCACGAAGAAGGUUUUCGGAUUGUAAAGUGCUUUCAGCAGGGAAGAAGUAAGUGACGGUACCUGCAGAAGAAGCGACGGCUAAAUACGUG